GAGUAGUAGUUUAAAUAAAACAUUAAGUUGCAAACUUAAAAUCGACCUUUAGGUCCUACUCA
Molecule: transfer RNA, 62 nt
Filed under: Elysia chlorotica (eastern emerald elysia)
Lineage: Eukaryota; Metazoa; Mollusca; Gastropoda; Plakobranchidae
Description: tRNA-Cys
Source: RNAcentral